This 69-nucleotide transfer RNA is filed under the name Aspergillus niger CBS 101883. RNAcentral describes it as "tRNA-Thr". It matches the Rfam family "tRNA". Rfam says of the family: Transfer RNA (tRNA) molecules are approximately 80 nucleotides in length. Their secondary structure includes four short double-helical elements and three loops (D, anti-codon, and T loops). Further hydrogen bonds mediate the characteristic L-shaped molecular structure. tRNAs have two regions of fundamental functional importance: the anti-codon, which is responsible for specific mRNA codon recognition, and the 3' end, to which the tRNAs corresponding amino acid is attached (by aminoacyl-tRNA synthetases). tRNAs cope with the degeneracy of the genetic code in two manners: having more than one tRNA (with a specific anti-codon) for a particular amino acid; and 'wobble' base-pairing, i.e. permitting non-standard base-pairing at the 3rd anti-codon position. The record is from RNAcentral. Lineage: Eukaryota; Fungi; Ascomycota; Eurotiomycetes; Eurotiales; Aspergillaceae.
GCGUCAAAAAGCAGGUAGAGCGCAUGACUAGUAAUCAUGAGGUCCGCGGUUCGAAUCCGCGUGGAAGCA